GAUGAACGCUGGCGGCGUGCCUAAUACAUGCAAGUCGAGCGAACGGACGUGAAGCUUGUUUCUCUGAUGUUAGCGGCGGACGGGUGAGUAACACGUGGAUAAUCUACCUAUAAGACUGGGAUAACUUCGGGAAACCGGAGCUAAUACCGGAUGAUAUUUUGAACCGCAUGGUUCAAAAGUGAAAGACGGUCUUGCUGUCACUUAUAGAUGGAUCCGCGCUGCAUUAGCUAGUUGGUAAGGUAACGGCUUACCAAGGCAACGAUGCAUAGCCGACCUGAGAGGGUGAUCGGCCACACUGGAACUGAGACACGGUCCAGACUCCUACGGGAGGCAGCAGUAGGGAAUCUUCCACAAUGGGCGAAAGCCUGACGGAGCAACGCCGCGUGAGUGAUGAAGGUCUUCGGAUCGUAAAACUCUGUUAUUAGGGAAGAACAUAUGUGUAAGUAACUGUGCACAUCUUGACGGUACCUAAUCAGAAAGCCACGGCUAACUACGUG
RNAcentral lists this ribosomal RNA (497 nucleotides) under uncultured bacterium. Its description in RNAcentral is "partial 16S ribosomal RNA". It matches the Rfam family "Bacterial small subunit ribosomal RNA", at positions 28 to 507 of the family's 1533-position model. The record is from RNAcentral.